Pseudomyrmex gracilis is the source of this 3122-nucleotide RNA transcript. It is a transcript of the gene named hrp65 protein-like, with no coding region annotated. The record is from RefSeq and is a predicted model, not a curated record. NCBI's taxonomy places the organism in Eukaryota, Metazoa, Arthropoda, Insecta, Hymenoptera, Formicidae. The transcript has 15 exons.
UCGUUGUUACGCGUGCAAGAGGUCUCUUUGUUGCUGGCCUUUACAGUGCGCGGUUGAUGUGAGUAGGCGCACACGGCAAGGAAGUAAAACAUUUCUGUAAGAAGUGUUGGUCUGAGCACGCGACGCGUAGUCUGAGAAGAGUAGUCAAAAGCAUUUACGGACAACAAUGGCCGGAACAGAGACUUCGAACGUGAAGUCGGAACCGACGAACGCUCCAGUUGAGAAUAGCAACGAAAACCCGCGUGAACGAAACCAACCGGGCGGCGGUAAUCGUGGAGCUCGUGGUCGAAAAGGAGGCACUCGCUUUUCCGGUGGCCGCGGCGGAAUUGGCGGUGGCGGUGGCAACAGAAAUAACGAUGCAAUGAAAAUAAAUGAUUCUAUAGAUGGAGGCAUAGAUUUAAUGUCUGAAAGUAAAAGCGGCAUGAGUGGUGGUAUGAGCAUGGGUCGAGGUGGAGGAAUGCGAGGUGGAAGAGGAAGUGGUCGUGGAGGUAUAGACAGAAACAUGGUCAACAGAUCACAAGAUGAUCGCUUGAUGGAACGCAUUAUGGCUAUUAGUGGACCUACUCAUGAAUUACAACCGCAAGACACAACAGAAAAAAAGUUCAGUAGCAGAAAUCGUUUAUACAUUGGAAACUUGACAAAUGAUGUGACUGAAGAAGAGAUACAAACUUUGUUUCAAAAAUAUGGCGAAAUAUCUGAAUUAUUUGUAAAUAAAGAGAAAAAUUUUGCUUUUCUCAAAAUGGACUAUAAAGUAAAUGCUGAAGCAGCAAAACGCGAAUUGGAUGGUUCAAUGCGCAAGGGUCGUACAUUAAAAGUGCGAUUUGCUCCUAACUCAUCUACAAUCAAAGUAAAGAAUCUUACACCUUGGACAUCUAAUGAACUUCUUGAGAGAGCUUUCAGUGUGUUCGGCGAAAUUGAACGCGCGAUAGUUAAAGUCGAUGAACGAGGUAAAACUACUGGCGAGGGAAUUGUUGAAUUUUGUCGAAAGUCGUCGGCUCAAGUGGCUCUGAGGAAAUGUACAGAAGGAUGCUAUUUUAUUACAGCUUCUCUUCGACCAGUUGUUGUGGAACUGUUUGAACAACAAGAUGACGUAGAUGGCUAUCCUGAUAAGAGUUUGCCACGCAAAAAUCCCGAAUUUUUCAAAGCUCGUGACAUAGGACCUCGUUUUGCGCAGAUAGGUAGUUUCGAACACGAAUAUGGAACAAGAUGGAAACAGUUGCACGAAUUAUAUAAACAAAAAGAAGAGGCACUUAAACGAGAAAUGGCAAUGGAAGAAGAAAAGCUAGAGGCUCAAAUGGAAUUUGCUAGAUAUGAACAUGAAACGGAACUUCUGAGAGAACAACUACGUAUGCGCGAAGCUGAUCGUGAAAGGCAAAAGAGAGAAUGGGAAAUGAAAGAACGACAAGCCGAAGAACAGAGGACCCGUGAAGAAGAGUUGAGACGACGUCAGCAAGAAGAAAUGACCAUACGUAUUAGAAGACAAGAAGAAGAAUUGCAUAGACGUCAACAAGAAAACAAUUUGUUUAUGCAGGAACAGGCAAUCCGUAGUGGAAAAAGUUAUGAUUCUGUCGCUAGCACUGAUCGUGAUGGAUAUGGCCAACCUGAUGGUGGAAGCAGCAUGGCAGUGCGUCAGAUUUACACAGUGCCCGAUCGAUAUCACACCUCUGGAUACGAAAUUCAACUUUCGUCUAAAGUCUAGGCUAUUAAGGAUUUCACACGAAGAAAUUUUGACCACGUGACAUGCGGAAGGCUUUCGUCACGAUAUUCACGACUCGUCGAAGGUUAGUUUUGCAGUUUACUGCAAUAAAUAGACUCAAAGAUCUUCCGCUGUAUCAAUAAUCGCGCCUCUAUAUAUUUAAUGCAGAAAUACAAGUCAUCUGGACGGCCAUAGAACAUUAACGCAUCAGCUGGCUGAAUAAAUGCACAGAAGUAAACAUAUAGUUUGAUAUCUCGAUUGCUCAGAAUACGGAGACAACAUAACGUUUGUAUAUUUUUACUACCAUAACGUUACUACUUUUGAUACUUUAUUUGCGAAGAGAGAUAUCUGCACAAAAAAAUAAACGAAAAACAAUGUAAAUUAAUACAGUGUCUCUGGAAUACUUCAAUUUUAAAGAAGAGCAGAAAAAUAAAACCCAAUCUACGGAAAAUCAUAUGGAGAACACUCACAUAGAACACUCUAGCACUCGGGUGACGACAUGUAUAGUUGCUGGUGUCCAUGCGGUUAUAGCUUAACAGAAAGACUGCAGUGACAACAGCCGAAAACCUUUGAUUCAGCGCAAUCCAAGAUCCUCGAGGUACAAGGUACGCGAUUAGAGAAAGAGCGCAUUAAGAAUGAACAAGAUAUGUGACAUCUUCAGUCUAUACCGAAAAGGAUACGAAAUAAACUACUUCCUAAAUAAACGCAGAGAUAUCUUAGUAAACAAAGGGCGAAAUGAAAUAGUGGUAUUUGCGCAAAGAAUCGGCCGAUCAUAAGCAAUAUGGUGAUGGAUGAGAAGAAACAAGGAUUACCUGGAUUUACCUGGAUAUAGCGCACACAGUUGUCACUAUCACGGAUAAGAAUACACACUGUUUUUCUCACUCGAUGUUACGUGUCGCCGCAAAACAUUACAAGCGUAUUUUUGGAAAAAUUUGACGAGUUUCUAUUCCACGUAACAAGAUAUAAAAGACAUAAAACGAAUAAGCCAGAACACAUCUCUGGCCGAGCUCGGGAUGGACUCUAUGAUGACAGUAGAGAUCAGACAAUGUCGCGCACAGGACUCGAUGACAUCGGAGAAGUGUAAAACCGACGAAGAAAGAUUCAACACUUUAACAAAAUACUUUUCGGCAUAAAAUUCAACACUCUCGCUAGCAAAUUUAAAGAUAUUGUACAAUAUAUAAACAUUUAGUUAUCACGAAGAAGUACGAAGUUUCUACCGUACCGCGUAUCAAAUCUCCAGUAAUAUCGUUAAAACCUACAAUUCCUUCGGCAUCUGAAGCCGAAGAAAAUUACGGUUUGCACAAGAUAACAUCCGACGUCACGAUACAGUAUGUCGAGGGAAGCCACAAGACAAUUUUAAGAAAUCCUGUAAGAAAAUGUAAUUUCUGAAACAUCAUUUGAAUAUGAAUAAAUAACAUUGACACAA